GGUAGCAUCCUUAAAUUUCAUGUUCCAAUUCUGCCUGCCAAUAGAAAAAUUACCAUUACCAUCUCCAGGAAAUGAUUGCCCAUGUUCCAACCUUUCAUCCUUGAAACCUAAGUGGCAUGAACCACCAUCAUCAACAUAAUAUUUCCUUGAAAGUUCUACAACAACUCUCGCAGCUAGGGUUGUAUGUUCUGCAAAGUCAGCCGCUGCUCUAGCAGCAAAGGUAGCAUCCUUAAAUUACAUGUUCCAAUUCUGCCUGCCAAUAGAAAAAUUACCAUCUCCAAGAAAUGAUUGCCCAUAUUACACCCUUUCAUCCUUGAAACCUCAGUGGCAUGAACCACCAUUAUCCACACAAUAUUGCCUUGAAAGUUCUACAAUAGCUCUUGCAGCUAGGCUUGCAUGUUCUGCAAACUCAGCCGCUUCUAGAGCAGCAGAGGUAGCAUCCUAAAAUUUCAUGUUCCAAUUCUGCCUGCCAACAGAAAAAUUACCAUCACCAUCUCUUGGAAAUGAUUACCCAUGUUCCAACCUUUCAUCCUUGAAACCUAAGUGGCAUGAACCACCAUUAUCAACACAAUAAAUCCUUGAAAGUUCUACAACAGCUCUGGCAGCUAGGCUUGCAUGUUCUGCAAACUCAGCCGCUGCUUGAGCAGCAUAGGUAUCAUUCUUAAAUUUCAUGUUCCAAUUCUGCCUGCCAACAGAAAAAUUACCAUUACCAUC
This 714-nucleotide long non-coding RNA is filed under the name Nicotiana tabacum (common tobacco). RNAcentral's name for it is "long non-coding RNA (NTAB_LNC015979)". Lineage: Eukaryota; Viridiplantae; Streptophyta; Magnoliopsida; Solanales; Solanaceae. The record is from RNAcentral.